This 1077-nucleotide long non-coding RNA is filed under the name Scophthalmus maximus (turbot). RNAcentral describes it as "lncRNA (ENSSMAG00000028711.1)". Lineage: Eukaryota; Metazoa; Chordata; Actinopteri; Pleuronectiformes; Scophthalmidae. The record is from RNAcentral.
GUGAGUCGGGAGGGAUGACUGAGUCCGCCAUGACGGGACUUCAUGUUCCUGCACACACCAAGCAGAACACUCCUCACGCAGCUCUGUCUCCUCGGGACACUCCGGAGUUUCACCCUCCUUCACCGAGUCUGGCUUUCUGCGGCAGCAUGUCAGUGUGUUCAUAUCUGGUCACAGUCUGGCAGGAGAGCGCUGGACAUCAUCACGGUUUGUGUCCCACAUCAGCUUCAGAGCGGACGAGUCGGCCGAUGAAUUCCCCCUGAAAGUCCGCAGUGAAACAACAGUAGUUCCUCUCUUGAGGCACCAGGGGGAAAUGGAUAGCUGUGGAAAGGAUGCUUCGGGGAAUAGGCAAGCUCGGGAGACGUCUCAGAAGUUUGGGCCAUUUGUCAGAACUACGAUGUGGAAUAACCCUGCGCGGUCAGCAUUGCAUAUAGAAAAGAUUUUUUUAUGUCCCGUUGUAAAGCAACGCCAUUAUGCCUCCUCCUCCAUCAUAAACGGUGUUGUUUCAGCCGAUAGUGCUCCCCGUGUAUGACCUCUGACCCUGUCAUUUGUCUGCUGAAGAUGGCUUUUAGAACCUCUAAAGGACAUUUCACUGCGGUGAAUUAUCCAAGGGGGCCCACAUUUGUUUCCAUCCGUUUUGAUAUUGGUCAUUGUUUCCACAUUUGAUGCAUUCACUAUGCUCCUCAGAAAAUCUUUCCCAUAUCCAAUUUCUUUCUUUCCCGUGUCCAAUUUUCCCUAAUAUUCAGAUGAUUAUGGCGUGAUGCUUUCCUUCCCUCCUUUUCAGCAGUCUACUCUUUUCCUCUCCCAUUUUCCCCUGAUUCUCUUUCACUCUCUUCCUUAUAUUCUGACAUAUGGCUACAUGAUAUGAAUGUUUUCAGUGACAUUAUGUCCAAUCAGCACAAAUAUAGAUGUGCCACAAUGGCUGAGAUUCCGCCGCAAAUCAUCCACAAAUGAAAACAUAAAACCUUACAUUUACUUUGCCUCUCCUAUCCCAAAUCCAAAUGGCAAAAAAAUAUUUUCAAUCUUCCCCCUCUGACAGACAGUUCAUAGUGUUUUUGUGUUGCAGCCUGAGAAUUAAAU